Macrostomum lignano is the source of this 70-nucleotide non-coding RNA. The record is from Rfam. NCBI's taxonomy places the organism in Eukaryota, Metazoa, Platyhelminthes, Macrostomidae.
GGGGUUGUAGCCUAGUGGUUAGAGCGUCGGACUCACGAUUUGAGGGUCGGGGGUUCGAUUCCUCAUUCCA